GUGUUUUUUGAAAAGGAGAGAAGGUUAGCACUCCCCUGGAUGAGGACGGAAUUAAAAAGACACACACAAUGUCUUCACAUGGUUUGACAAUCAUGUGCAUUUUUUUU
Molecule: small nuclear RNA, 107 nt
Organism: Dermatophagoides farinae (American house dust mite)
Lineage: Eukaryota; Metazoa; Arthropoda; Arachnida; Sarcoptiformes; Pyroglyphidae
Source: RefSeq, a predicted model, not a curated record